Molecule: ribosomal RNA, 253 nt
Filed under: uncultured bacterium
Lineage: Bacteria
Description: partial 16S ribosomal RNA
Rfam family: Bacterial small subunit ribosomal RNA
Source: RNAcentral
UACAGAGGGGGCAAGCGUUGUUCGGAUUCACUGGGCGUAAAGGGUGCGUAGGUGGUUGGGUAAGUCUGAUGUGAAAUCUCCGGGCUCAACCCGGAAAUGGCAUUGGAUACUAUUCGGCUAGAGGUUUGGAGGGGGGACUGGAAUUCUCGGUGUAGCAGUGAAAUGCGUAGAUAUCGAGAGGAACACCAGUGGCGAAGGCGAGUCCCUGGACAACACCUGACACUGAGGCACGAAAGCUAGGGGAGCAAACAGG